CCUUCUUCUCCGCGGUUGAGCAAUAGAGGUUGCCGGUGGUAAUCUUGCAUGGUUUGGUUGAGAUUAGAGCCUACAGGGAAGAAACAGAGAGGGUUCAGUUCUUGCCUCGCUUCUGAUUUUUCUUUAUCGUUUUUCAUCCAUGCUUUCUUUUCUUCUUAGCAUAAGAGAAGAUAAGAGCAGCUUGGACAGCGAAAGAAAACUACCUG
RNAcentral lists this unclassified non-coding RNA (206 nucleotides) under Hevea brasiliensis (rubber tree). The record is from RNAcentral. Lineage: Eukaryota; Viridiplantae; Streptophyta; Magnoliopsida; Malpighiales; Euphorbiaceae.